RNAcentral lists this ribosomal RNA (465 nucleotides) under Vreelandella stevensii. RNAcentral's name for it is "partial 16S ribosomal RNA". It matches the Rfam family "Bacterial small subunit ribosomal RNA", at positions 338 to 795 of the family's 1533-position model. Lineage: Bacteria; Pseudomonadati; Pseudomonadota; Gammaproteobacteria; Oceanospirillales; Halomonadaceae. The record is from RNAcentral.
CCUACGGGGGGCAGCAGUGGGGAAUAUUGGACAAUGGGCGAAAGCCUGAUCCAGCCAUGCCGCGUGUGUGAAGAAGGCCUUCGGGUUGUAAAGCACUUUCAGUGGGGAAGAAAGCCUUGGGGCUAAUACCCUCGAGGAAGGACAUCACCCACAGAAGAAGCACCGGCUAACUCCGUGCCAGCAGCCGCGGUAAUACGGAGGGUGCGAGCGUUAAUCGGAAUUACUGGGCGUAAAGCGCGCGUAGGCGGUCUGAUAAGCCGGUUGUGAAAGCCCCGGGCUCAACCUGGGAACGGCAUCCGGAACUGGCAGGCUAGAGUGCAGGAGAGGGAGGUAGAAUUCCCGGUGUAGCGGUGAAAUGCGUAGAGAUCGGGAGGAAUACCAGUGGCGAAGGCGGCCUUCUGGACUGACACUGACGCUGAGGUGCGAAAGCGUGGGUAGCAAACAGGAUUAGAUACCUCAGUAGUC